UUCACAACCCAACAUAUUAAUUAACUAGAAAAGGAAAAAAAAAAUACUCGUAUUAAAAAUGUUAAUCGAGCGGUAAACCUAAAUUUACACUAUGAAGUAAAUUAAAACAGUAGGUUACGAUACACUAGUCCCUUUCCGUCCCUUCUCUAUAUAAACUGUACUGUACUCUCUUCCUGUAACUGCUCUUCAAGAUGCCUUUAAAGCCUGUACUAGUCCACAAUUUACCGGAAUAUAAAACCCUAAUUCUGGAUUUUGAUCGAAGAUGAAUUGUUUUACGCCAUGGGAGACUUAUAGGGGAGACUUUUGAAUUGAUCUGAUGAACAAGCACCAUGUGCCGAAGACAUUUGGGGAUAAAGUUGCUUACAGGACUGUGAAAUACCUUAGAAUUGCAACUGAUGUUUUUUAAGGCGUGUUAUCUUCUAUAUCUUGUUUCUUCUUUUUCUUUGUCUUGUCAAUGGGGUCCCUUUUAAAAAUUGAGCAACACUAUGUUUAUGGAAAGGGAAA
Molecule: long non-coding RNA, 504 nt
Organism: Cornus florida
Lineage: Eukaryota; Viridiplantae; Streptophyta; Magnoliopsida; Cornales; Cornaceae
Exons: 2
Source: RefSeq, a predicted model, not a curated record